RNAcentral lists this small RNA (29 nucleotides) under Bombyx mori (domestic silkworm). RNAcentral's name for it is "ovarian small RNA-3468". The record is from RNAcentral. Lineage: Eukaryota; Metazoa; Arthropoda; Insecta; Lepidoptera; Bombycidae.
UCUCAGUGGAGUUUUAGUCUCGAAAGAGA